This 1541-nucleotide ribosomal RNA is filed under the name Escherichia coli O26:H11. Its description in RNAcentral is "bacterial LSU rRNA". It matches the Rfam family "Bacterial large subunit ribosomal RNA", at positions 1253 to 2779 of the family's 2925-position model. The record is from RNAcentral. Lineage: Bacteria; Pseudomonadati; Pseudomonadota; Gammaproteobacteria; Enterobacterales; Enterobacteriaceae.
AAGGUGUGCUGUGAGGCAUGCUGGAGGUAUCAGAAGUGCGAAUGCUGACAUAAGUAACGAUAAAGCGGGUGAAAAGCCCGCUCGCCGGAAGACCAAGGGUUCCUGUCCAACGUUAAUCGGGGCAGGGUGAGUCGACCCCUAAGGCGAGGCCGAAAGGCGUAGUCGAUGGGAAACAGGUUAAUAUUCCUGUACUUGGUGUUACUGCGAAGGGGGGACGGAGAAGGCUAUGUUGGCCGGGCGACGGUUGUCCCGGUUUAAGCGUGUAGGCUGGUUUUCCAGGCAAAUCCGGAAAAUCAAGGCUGAGGCGUGAUGACGAGGCACUGCGGUGCUGAAGCAACAAAUGCCCUGCUUCCAGGAAAAGCCUCUAAGCAUCAGGUAACAUCAAAUCGUACCCCAAACCGACACAGGUGGUCAGGUAGAGAAUACCAAGGCGCUUGAGAGAACUCGGGUGAAGGAACUAGGCAAAAUGGUGCCGUAACUUCGGGAGAAGGCACGCUGAUAUGUAGGUGAAGUCCCUCGCGGAUGGAGCUGAAAUCAGUCGAAGAUACCAGCUGGCUGCAACUGUUUAUUAAAAACACAGCACUGUGCAAACACGAAAGUGGACGUAUACGGUGUGACGCCUGCCCGGUGCCGGAAGGUUAAUUGAUGGGGUUAGCGCAAGCGAAGCUCUUGAUCGAAGCCCCGGUAAACGGCGGCCGUAACUAUAACGGUCCUAAGGUAGCGAAAUUCCUUGUCGGGUAAGUUCCGACCUGCACGAAUGGCGUAAUGAUGGCCAGGCUGUCUCCACCCGAGACUCAGUGAAAUUGAACUCGCUGUGAAGAUGCAGUGUACCCGCGGCAAGACGGAAAGACCCCGUGAACCUUUACUAUAGCUUGACACUGAACAUUGAGCCUUGAUGUGUAGGAUAGGUGGGAGGCUUUGAAGUGUGGACGCCAGUCUGCAUGGAGCCGACCUUGAAAUACCACCCUUUAAUGUUUGAUGUUCUAACGUUGACCCGUAAUCCGGGUUGCGGACAGUGUCUGGUGGGUAGUUUGACUGGGGCGGUCUCCUCCUAAAGAGUAACGGAGGAGCACGAAGGUUGGCUAAUCCUGGUCGGACAUCAGGAGGUUAGUGCAAUGGCAUAAGCCAGCUUGACUGCGAGCGUGACGGCGCGAGCAGGUGCGAAAGCAGGUCAUAGUGAUCCGGUGGUUCUGAAUGGAAGGGCCAUCGCUCAACGGAUAAAAGGUACUCCGGGGAUAACAGGCUGAUACCGCCCAAGAGUUCAUAUCGACGGCGGUGUUUGGCACCUCGAUGUCGGCUCAUCACAUCCUGGGGCUGAAGUAGGUCCCAAGGGUAUGGCUGUUCGCCAUUUAAAGUGGUACGCGAGCUGGGUUUAGAACGUCGUGAGACAGUUCGGUCCCUAUCUGCCGUGGGCGCUGGAGAACUGAGGGGGGCUGCUCCUAGUACGAGAGGACCGGAGUGGACGCAUCACUGGUGUUCGGGUUGUCAUGCCAAUGGCACUGCCCGGUAGCUAAAUGCGGAAGAGAUAAGUGCUGAAAGCA